CCUGGCGAGGGACCAAAAAACCUCCUACCAAAAGCCGCAACCUACAUUUGUUCCUUAUGCAACACCUUUGACUCCGGAAGAAGUCCUGGGAACGGCACUGGAUAACGAUCCUAAGCGGCUGAAAGUCCCAGCCUAUUACAACGAGUUGUGCUCGAUGAUCAGCGAGAACAGGCUCGACACCUUCCA
Long non-coding RNA from Selaginella moellendorffii, 186 nucleotides. RefSeq lists it as uncharacterized. The record is from RefSeq and is a predicted model, not a curated record. The transcript has 3 exons. Lineage: Eukaryota; Viridiplantae; Streptophyta; Lycopodiopsida; Selaginellales; Selaginellaceae.